Molecule: ribosomal RNA, 447 nt
Filed under: uncultured bacterium
Lineage: Bacteria
Description: partial 16S ribosomal RNA
Rfam family: Bacterial small subunit ribosomal RNA
Source: RNAcentral
AGCGAACGCUGGCGGCAGGCUUAACACAUGCAAGUCGAGCGCUCCGCAAGGGGAGCGGCCGACGGGCGAGUAACACGUGGGAACGUACCCUUUGGUUCGGAACAACCCAGGGAAACUUGGGCUAAUACCGGAUAAUUCCGUAAGGAGAAAGAUUUAUCGCCGAAGGAUCGGCCCGCGGCUGAUUAGCUUGUUGGUGAGGUAACGGCUCACCAAGGCGACGAUGAGUAGCUGGUCUGGGAGGAUGAUCAGCCUCACUGGGACUGCGCCACGGCCCAGACUCGUACGAGAGGCAGCAGUGGGUAAUAUUGGACAAUGGGGGCAACCCUGAUCCAGCCAUGCCGCGUGGGUGAUGAAGGCCUUAGGGUUGUAAAGCCCUUUCGGCGGGGGAGAUAAUGACGGUACCCGCAGAAGAAGCCCCGGCUAACUGCGUGCCAGCAGCCGCGGUAA